RNAcentral lists this unclassified non-coding RNA (328 nucleotides) under Minimedusa sp. RNAcentral's name for it is "partial contains 5.8S ribosomal RNA, internal transcribed spacer 2, and large subunit ribosomal RNA". The record is from RNAcentral. RNAcentral also lists the same sequence under 3 other names. Lineage: Eukaryota; Fungi; Basidiomycota; Agaricomycetes; Cantharellales; Hydnaceae.
AACGCACCUUGCACUCCUUGGUAUUCCGAGGAGUACGCCUGUUCGAGUGUUAUGAAGCUCUCAAAACGCAAUUGGCUUAAAACCUGAUUGUUGUUUUGGAUUUGAACUUUGCCGUGUUACAACGGCUGGUUUUAAAAGCAUUAGCUGGUACUAGAACGAAUUGGUUCUACUCAACGUGAUAAUUAUCUGAUCGUUGAGGACAUUCCUUUCACGAGGAAUGGCCAUAGUAAAUUCAAUGGACUGCUUCUAACUUGGCUUUAAUUCUUAAUUGGAUUAACCACUUUUCAAAUCUGACCUCGAAUCAGGUGGGACUACCCGCUGAACUUAA